This 365-nucleotide ribosomal RNA is filed under the name uncultured eukaryote. Its description in RNAcentral is "partial 18S ribosomal RNA". It matches the Rfam family "Eukaryotic small subunit ribosomal RNA", at positions 592 to 976 of the family's 1831-position model. The record is from RNAcentral.
CAAUAGCGUAUAUUUAAGUUGUUGCAGUUAAAAAGCUCGUAGUCGGAUUUUGGCUGAGAACGAUCGGUCCGCCGUUAGGUGUGCACUGAUUGGUCUCAGCUUCCUGGUGAGGAGGUGUGCUUCACGGCCACUUAGUCACCGUGGUUACUUUGAAAAAAUUAGAGUGUUCAAAGCGGGCUUACGCUUGAAUAUAUUAGCAUGGAAUAACACCAUAGGACUCCUGUCCUAUUUCGUUGGUCACGGGACGGGAGUAAUGAUUAAGAGGAACAGUUGGGGGCAUUCGUAUUUCAUUGUCAGAGGUGAAAUUCUUGGAUUUAUGGAAGACGAACUUCUGCGAAAGCAUUUGCCAAGGAUGUUUUCAUUGA